GUGGCCCCCGUCGGGGUCCCGGACGAGGGGUGCCGUACCCGGUCAGCGCAAAGACGGCACCGA
Molecule: non-coding RNA, 63 nt
Filed under: Actinotalea ferrariae CF5-4
Lineage: Bacteria; Bacillati; Actinomycetota; Actinomycetes; Micrococcales; Cellulomonadaceae
Also listed under: 1 other name
Source: RNAcentral